AAAUAAACGGUGUAUCCUCUAUGAUGCUGAGAUUGCAGCCCACGCAUGGAAGAAAGAACACCCCCGCAAUUAGAUUUUUCUCAAGUGACGUUGGUGCUUAUUUUGUGGGAAACGGCAUUGGAGCUUGGUUUUGGCACAAGACGUGGGAGCUCAGGAAAGUAGCAUGUAUGCUGAAGUCUAUGGGCUGAACUCUGUUGUUUGAAGGGGCUUUGUCGAUAUUCGCGUACUUCAACUGCUGUGCGAAGUGGGGAGCCACUGUAUUUUGUUUUCCUGUAAAUGAGACCUGAUAGUUAAAACAGUAAAUUAAGAUAUAACUCAACUAUCCCCAAAAUCAUUAACUGUUUCCUUAUUCCUGUCAAUUAUUGACACUUUUCUAUUGGAAAACAGGUAGGGGUUUAUGGGUAAAGUUGUAUUUUGGGAAACAAUAGUAAAAUCCUAGAAUAUUUUUGUGGCAAGUCCAUCUUGUGUUUCCAUUACAAAUUGCCAUAUACUGAAAACCUGUUUUGUUUUCCAAUCGCAAUUAACCCUAAUCUAAAACGAAUGGAUUAACACACAUUGAAGCUGAUGGGAAAUGUUUACAUGACUCUGUUUACAUUGUGUUCUGGACCCUCCUGUACAGUGUCAUAAGCCUUGCAUAUCAAUUACACUCAGAUGCACAACAUAUCGUCCAUUUAAUUAAUAUACCUGCUGUUGGACCAAUCUUUAGCCAAAGGUAUUUUAAGGAUUUGAAGCGUUGCAUGAAAAUGAUGUAAAUUCACAUGGUGAGUUACAAUCAUGCCACUACCAAUGGGAGUCAUCAAUUUUGUCAAUGCAUGCAUGUCUCUAUCACUCUCUCUCACUGCCAUGCACCCCCUGUCUGUAAUUUCAAUGAAAGGCUCAACAGCUGCUCAGCCUCACUUGCAAUGGUAAUUUGACCUUUGAUAACCACAGAUUUCAGCCCAUGCAUUCCACCUCGUAUUCUGCUGCACAGAGAUAGACAGAGACAUAGGGCUUAAACUAUUUCACAGAUACACACUAUAUACUCUAAUUUCCCUGGUAUGAUAUUUCUCUUCUUGGUGCUA
Molecule: long non-coding RNA, 1061 nt
Filed under: Oncorhynchus kisutch (coho salmon)
Lineage: Eukaryota; Metazoa; Chordata; Actinopteri; Salmoniformes; Salmonidae
Description: lncRNA (ENSOKIG00005040307.1)
Source: RNAcentral